Nematostella vectensis (starlet sea anemone) is the source of this 510-nucleotide long non-coding RNA. RefSeq lists it as uncharacterized. The transcript has 2 exons. The record is from RefSeq and is a predicted model, not a curated record. Lineage: Eukaryota; Metazoa; Cnidaria; Anthozoa; Actiniaria; Edwardsiidae.
AAGGGGGAUUUGCAAGGUGGAGUGUGGGUGACUAUGGAGCUGCCUACAGCUCAUACGGUAAGCGAGGGGGAUUUGCAAGGUGGAGUGUGGGUGACUACGGAGCUGCCUACAGCUCAUACGGUAAGCGAGGGGGAUUUGCAAGGUGGAGUGUGGGUGACUACGGAGCUGCCUACAGCUCAUACGGUAAGCGAGGGGGAUUUGCAAGGUGGAGUGUGGGUGACUACGGAGCUGCCUACAGCUCAUACGGUAAGCGAGGGGGAUUUGCAAGGUGGAGUGUGGGUGACUACGGAGCUGCCUACAGCUCAUACGGUAAGCGAGGGGGGUUUGCAAGGUGGAGUGUGGGUGACUACGGAGCUGCCUACAGCUCAUACGGUAAGCAAGGGGGAUUUGCAAGGUGGAGUGUGGGUGACUACGGAGCUGCCUACAGCUCAUACGGUAAGCAAGGGGGAUUUGCAAGGUGGAUCGUGGUUUUGGAAUUAUUUGGCAAUCUCAAAAGACAUUAAAUUCAUG